Molecule: long non-coding RNA, 5696 nt
Organism: Loxodonta africana (African savanna elephant)
Lineage: Eukaryota; Metazoa; Chordata; Mammalia; Proboscidea; Elephantidae
Exons: 6
Source: RefSeq, a predicted model, not a curated record
UUGAGCACGAGCUUAAAACACUCACGUCUCUGCCAAACACUUCCAGUUUCAAAGGCCACUCGUCCAUCUCCACUCUGUCCCACGCCCUCACAUCAGCAGGUUCCUCGGCUGGGAUCCUUGGAUCUGGGACUGGAGAUAAAUCAUCGUGAAGGGUCCUGAUUUUCCAAGCCAAAAGCCUGCAGCGGCAGCAACAGCAAUGGCAUGCUAAGUUAAAGGGCCAGUCUGCAAGUGGGGAGGUGUAUGUGCAAUGAUGAACACCACACGCCUGUGCUGUUUGUCUUCAUGCCCGCCUGAAGGGUAGGAGGGAUGCAAGACAGACCCAGCUACACUGAGAAAGGAGCAUAAGCACUGGAUAAAGACAGGGUGACUCUCUAACCACCUAAAGGUCACUGAGACUUCAGACAAUGCACACAAGAACUGAAAAGCACCUCACCUUGACAAGCGUCGGUUUCUACAUCAACAAAAUGACACAAGAGGACCAGGUGGUUUAUAAGAUGUAAAAUGAAGCUGCACUCCUAUACCUGCCGGCAAGUAGACCGGUCUGCACACACCCUGGGGAAAUAUGCAUUGCACCCCGCAAGCGACCUGGAAUACGUUUCGCUAAAAUCGACAGGAAGAAGUCAGAAUUUUACAUGGUGCCUCAAAAUACAAAACAGAUAAAGGAGAUCUUCAAGCUGUGUUGGAAGGGUGAGUAGCGCAUCCAAAACCCUGCUUACCUGUCCUUUCUCUUGCUCCUCUCCUCCCACCAAGGCAGCUUCUGAAGUAACUCUGCAGAACCCUAGAACAGACACUGAGCCCUGUGUCACUGAGUUGUUAGCAGCUGUCAAGUCAGCCCGACUCAUGGGCUCCCAUGUACAACAGAACAAAACACUGCUUGAUUCUGCUCCAUACCCAUGACCAUUGUGGAUUAGACUGUUGUGAUCCAGAGAGUUUUCACUGGCUGAUUUUAGGCAGUAGGUAGCCAGGCCUUUCUUCCUAAGUCAUCUUAGUCUGGAAGUUCUGCUGAAACCUGACCAGCAUCAUGGCAACACGCAAGCCCCCAGUGACAGAUGAGUUGUGGCUGCACAUGAAGUACAUCAGGCAGAAAUGGAACCCAGGUCUCCUGCAUGGAAGAACCAAGCAAUGAGACUCAGGGAUAGAGACCAGAGCAGAAGGAAAGAAGUGGUACACAGAGUAUUAUCUAGGGAGGACAGAGCUGAGCAGAUCAUUAUAGUGAAGCAUCUGGGUCAAGGUGAGCUGUACCAGAUCACAAGCAAGAAGAGAAGAAAGGCUGGGCCACUUGCACCUAACACCUGCCUCAAGUGGUUUCCAAGGAAGAAUAAAGAAGAAAAUUAUGAACUCGGUUAAUGAGUUGACACUUUCCUGUCCCUCACCUGAGGGCCUGAACAAACACACCUGUUCCAGCAUCCCUUCUCAUUGUCUAUGCAAUGCCUACUUUUGCUCUGCAGAAGCCUAGAAACAGGAACCAGGUUUUCUGGCCUUUGCUUAAGCUAUAACCUUUCCAGGCUUACCUCAGGAUGGAUGUCUGUUGAGCAGAUGGGGUUGUGAAAUUUCCCAAGAAGAGGAAGCCUCUGGCUAGAACAACAAGCAGGGCCAACCAUGAGGUCAGAGCAGGCGUGAACACCAUGCUGUCACCCGAGUCUCAAGGGUCCUUCAGCGCUCUGUACUUCAGCCUUUGUGCCAGCAUGGAGGCGACCAAAACUGUGGGCGAUCCACAUUGGGGUCAGAGGCCUAUUUGAAUUUAGGUGAUGGGGAGAGAGAUUGAGAAGGGAUUAAAAUAGACUAAGAAACUGACCAAGUACUUAGGUUGGUGCAGGUAGCCACCCUUGGUGGAGAUUGAGAAGCUGGUUCUCAAGUCGGCAGGUUCAGACAUCCAUUUUACCAAACCACAAGCAUUGAUUUGGGUUUGUCAAUUUCCUGGAUAACUUCCACUGGUCUGUAAGACAUUCUCUGCCCUAUUUCACCCUGUUCUGUGCUCCAGGAAGCUGCUCUGUAUGGUCUGCAUCAAGAGGCUCCCUGACCUGCUGGCUUCCAGUUGGCUUUGGCCCAUUGGAGGCACUGGCAGGACAUCACAGAGUGGCAAAAAAGUGAGGUCAGGGUAUUAUUCCCCCUGAACCUUCCUGGUUAGCCAUGUCCCUCUGCUGAACUCCCAGGUUGCAAUCACGCAUCCCUCUUCCACACUGAUGUCUCCUCUGGAUUCUAGCAACUGCUCCUUCUCCAUUGUCCCUUCAAGCCUAAGGGUGGUAUAAGUUUCUCCCCCUGUUAUUUCCCCAGGAUAUUGCAUUAUCCCUUGUAAAUACUUAGUUUGCCUGUGCCAUCUGUUUGCUGUCACAACCUGAUAUUCAGUCAACAUCUGCCAAACUGAAGGCAUUGAAAUUAAGAUCGGAAUAACUGUCCUUAAGGCAAGUUUAUAUUGCCUGUGAUUUUAUCCUUUCAUUUUAUUAAUUUGGAUUGCAAAGAGAAUGCUCCAAAGGUCUUAAUUUUGAACUAUGUACUACUGUGUAUUGUGCCUGCAAUUUGAAAAAGCUGCCUUAAGAUGAAUGGUAGUGCCUGGGUUAUGUUGUUCUUGUUAGUUGCCAUCAAGUCAGCCCCCGACUCAACGGCAACUCCGUGCACAAGAGAACAAGUCCUGCACCAUCCCCACGAUCCAUUGCAAAUUGGAUCACUGUGAGCCAUAGGGUCUUCAUUGACUGAUUUCCCAAAGUAGAUUGCCAGGCCUUUCUUCCUAGUUCGUCUUAGUCUGGAAGCUUGGCUGAAAUCUGUUCAGCAUCAUUACAACACACAAGCCUCCACUGAAAGACUGAUGGUGCCUAUGCAUGAGGUGCAUUGGCCAAGAAUCGAACCCAGAUCUCCUACCUGGAAGGAGAGAAUUCCACCAUUGAACCAUCAAUGCCUUCACCUGGGUUAUAACCUUGUUAAAUAUAUAUAGGUGUUAGAUAUGCUUGCUUUUUCACUCAAUUGUAUGAGAAUACAAAACUAAAAUUGUACUAAAACAGUAAAAUAUUAACUAUUAAUAGGCUAUAGUACAGUAACUCAGAGCACAGGCUUUAAAGUUAGAUCAAGACUCAAAUCUACCACUUAUAAGCGUGCAGCCUUUGGACAGUUACUUAAGCUCUCUAAGUCUUGGUUUUCUCGUCCAUAACAUUGUGAUAACUGUACGUACUUGUUAUGGUUGUGAAGGUUAAAUGAGAUAAUGUACAUAAAAUUCAAGUACAGCGAGCCCUGGAAAAAUGUUAGUUAUUGUUAUUAGUAAAAUGUUAUUAAAAUGAUAUAUUUUGAUGUAAAUUAUUGCAUAGGGUUGUUUUGAGAGUUUAAUACAGUACGUUAAUAUUUUAAUGCUUACAACAGUACCUGGCACAUAGUUAAGAGCUAUGUAAGUGUUUAUUAAUACAUAAAUAAUACUCAAGUAUAAAUUUAAAAAGCCCAGUCGCAGGGAAGCCAGCACGACUUGUCCAAGGCAAGGUUGUGGAAGCUCCACAGAUACAUCCAAGCUCCCUGAGGGACUGAAUUGCUGGGCUGAGGGUUGUGAGGACCAUGGUCUCAGGGCAACACCUAGCUCAAUUGGCAAAACAUAGUUUAUAAAGAAAAUGUUCUACAUUCUACUUCAGUGAGUAGCCUCGGGGGUCUUAAAAGCUUGUGAACGGCCAUCUAAGAUUCUCCACUGGUCUCACCCCAUUGGGAGCAAGGGAGAAUGAAGAAAACCAAAGUAUGAGGGAAAGAUUAGUCCAAAGGACUAAUGGACCACGACUACCACAGCCUCCACCAGACUGAGUCCAGCACAACUAGAUGGUACCCAGCUACCACCACUGACUACUCUGACAGGGAUCACAACAGAGGGUCCCAGAUAGAGCUGGAGAAAGAUGUAGAACAAAAUUCUAACUCACAAAAAAAAAAAAAAAAAAAAAGGACCAGACUUACUGGCCUAACAGAGACUGGAGAAACCCUGAAAGUAUGGCCCCUAGACACCCUUUUAGCUCAGUAAUGAAGUCACUCCUGAGGUUCGCCCUUCAAUCGAUGAUUAGACAGACCCAUAAAAUAAGACUAAAGGGGCACUCCAGCCCAGGGGCAAGUACUAGAAGGCAGGAGGGGACAGGAAAGCCGGUAAUAGGGAACCCAAGGUUGAGAAGGGAGAGUGUUGAUGCGUCGUGGGGUUGGUAACCAGCAUCACAAAACAAUAUGUGUACUAAAUUGUUUAAGGAGAAACUAAUUUGUUCUGUAAACCUUCAUCUAAAGUACGAGAAUAAAAAAAAUUUUAAAUAAAAAAGCCCAGUUGCCAUCAGUUGAUUCUGACCCAUAGCGACCCCAUGUGUGUCAGAGUAGAACUGUGCUCCAUGGAGUUUUCAAUGGCUGUGACAUUUCAGAAGCAGAUUGCCAGGCCAUUCUUCUAAGGCACUUCUGGGUGGAUUUAAAAGGCCAAGCUUUUAGUUAGUAGGCAAGUGCUUAACCGUUUGCACUGGUAUUAUUUGAUUCCUUUCUCCUUUCCUUUUAAUUAUUCUCAAUCACUUUUCAAACUAACUUUGGAUUUCCCUCCAGGCUUAAAUAGACAAGAAUCUCCUAAAAGACCUUCUAACUUCAUCCUGAAUUUUUUUCGUGGAAUCAAAAAGCCUUUCUGUGCAUAUGCCUGUUUGUUUUAAUUUCUGAUUUUUAAGCAUCAGGUCAGCUUAAGAUCAAAAGCUAUUUUAAGCAAGUUUUCUUGAAUAUUUUAUUUCUCACACUGCUGAGUGUUAGCUAUCCAACCUCUUACUUUUACCCAUGCCAGCAACAUUACAGGAGAAACAAGUAGUUAGGAAGAAAUGACCUGGGGGGCCCUGAGCUACUUAUCGUUUGUGGGCUGUGGGAAUAUUGUGUGUUAAUUUAGGGAUUUUUGCCCAUCAAUUUCAGAUACAAUUCAGGAUAGUGACAGGAUAAAUACUUUCUUAGCAAAAUAAGGCCAGGAUUAUUGCUCUCAGGAAAGUGUCAAAUUUAUGAUAAUAAGGGAAUAGGAAUUUAUUUAGACUAGGAAAAGGGUUUUGUGACUAAGUGACUCCUUGAGUUGAUGAGAUGCAUUGAGUUAUAGAUACACCAAGAGUAAGCACCCUUGUCCCUUCCUAUAUCCUCAGGACUAGUGCUUGAACUGCUUCCUUAUCUGGAAGGUCCCAUGGACUCUGACACCAGGGCCACAGUGUCACAGUGACUCUGUGACUCCUGCACAGUAACUCCGCCUACACAGAGCAAAGCAGCAGUACUGUGUGUGGAUGAAGCCACCAACAUCCUGGAAGGCCGAGCAUGUGAAAUUUGCCAUUUACAGGAAAAAACUUAGGGAGACUGAAAUUUGGCUAUUUCUCUACGGGAGAUGAUCGAUUCCAAGGGAAAAGGGAAUUAGGAAGGGGAAUCAGAAGGAGAAAGGGGUUAAAAGGAGACGGCUAAUGAAAAUGAGAAAGAAGAUACAAAGUUCGGAACAAGGGACUAUCCAUGAGGGACACCCUCUGUAAGCCUAAGCAAUAAGGGCCAACCCUUGGUAUAUAUGCGUAGCACAAAGGAGCACGUUAUCUACGUAAGGCACAACGCUUGAUCUCCCAUUGUCUCCCUCUCCCAGUAUUACUUAGGAGUCUUCUGAAUAUAAACAGUAGAAACAAAAACAAGUUUAAGUGUAAAAAAGAAUAUACGGGCUCAUGUAACCAAAUUCAAGAGGUAAACUGACUUUAAGCACAGCUGGA